UUAGAGUGGUAUUUAGACCGAUUGUUGGUAGUGUUCUUUAUAAAAACGAUAAAGAACACUACCAACGACCGGUCUAAAUGCCACUUAUC
Molecule: microRNA precursor, 89 nt
Filed under: Columba livia (rock pigeon)
Lineage: Eukaryota; Metazoa; Chordata; Aves; Columbiformes; Columbidae
Description: microRNA cli-mir-9646 precursor
Source: miRBase by way of RNAcentral